RNA transcript from Ostrea edulis (European flat oyster), 1182 nucleotides. RefSeq lists it as uncharacterized. The record is from RefSeq and is a predicted model, not a curated record. NCBI's taxonomy places the organism in Eukaryota, Metazoa, Mollusca, Bivalvia, Ostreida, Ostreidae. The transcript has 10 exons.
CUUAUCAUUUAAUUCCAAAUGCAUUCAAGGCGCAUGCGUUGAGGAUGUGUGACUGAACAGGAAAUUCCAAAUAUUCAAUGACCUUUCACUUAAUUUGCUCCAAAAGCGACGGCAGUGAAAAUUCUAAGCUAUCAUCUUACAAGUGCAAUCGCAAUCGUCUUCAACAAUUUUUGCUUUUGUUUACUAAUCAUUUCCAUUAUAUUUCAGUUUGGAUAUAUAUUUCUUUUAAAAUUGUGCUAAUAUAUGUGUGCUUUUAUUGUGAAAUUACAUAUCAGUGGUUGUUUUUGCUGUUUUCUUCGUUCUGUGAUUUAUUUUUCAAUUGGGAUUUCUUUAUUUCUGGAAACGAUGGCAGAAAGAGCAUCCAGCAACCAGAGAACUCAGAUCGGAUCAGAGCCAGUUCAAUUCACACGACUUGGAUGCCAACAAAGGAUGAUAGUUGGGCAAACACGGACCCCUGGACACACCAGAGGUGGGAUCAGGUGCCUAGGAGGAGUAAGCAUCCCCUGUUGACCGGUCACACCCGCCGUGAGCCCCAUAUCCUGAUCAGAUAAUGAGAAUGAUAUAGACAUGAUAGAAGUGGAAAAAGAUUGUGACUAUUUUAGUAUGAAAAAGGAUUUGUCAACAAAUGAUGCAGAAAGGAAACGAAAUAAAAAAGAUUCCUGUACACUUCAAUUCACAAAGAAAACACCCACCAUUAUAGAUCUACACAUUUUUAUAUGACGGUCACUGAACGGGACGUAUUAUGUUAUGAUGCUGUCCAUGUGUCUGUCUGACUGGCUGGCUGUCCGUCCGGGGUCAUGUUUUCCGGACUUUUUCCCGUAACAGAUGCAUAUACAACUUUGAAAGAAAACCAAGAAAGGGACUACUAGAUGAGGAGAGUGAAUGAGGUUCAUCAAUUGAUGUUGAUCCUGAAGCCAUUAAAGAAAUAAGCAGUGAGCUUCAUUUUACCUGUAAGCCUAAAAGUCAGCGGCACACUUGGACGGAAAAAGAGGACAGACUUGUAACAGUUUUUCACAGAGGAAAUAAAUGAUGGAACACAAAAAGGAAAUAAGGGAGCACUAAACAUCAAAAAUAAAAUGAAGAGCUUUAUUCAGCAAUAUCCAGAAUUUCUUAAGGACUAUGAAGUGUCUAAACAAAAAUUCCUGAUCAGAGUGAAACUUUUAAACUGCAGAAGAAGGAAAA